Molecule: transfer RNA, 63 nt
Filed under: Gryllotalpa pluvialis
Lineage: Eukaryota; Metazoa; Arthropoda; Insecta; Orthoptera; Gryllotalpidae
Description: tRNA-Gly
Rfam family: tRNA
About the family: Transfer RNA (tRNA) molecules are approximately 80 nucleotides in length. Their secondary structure includes four short double-helical elements and three loops (D, anti-codon, and T loops). Further hydrogen bonds mediate the characteristic L-shaped molecular structure. tRNAs have two regions of fundamental functional importance: the anti-codon, which is responsible for specific mRNA codon recognition, and the 3' end, to which the tRNAs corresponding amino acid is attached (by aminoacyl-tRNA synthetases). tRNAs cope with the degeneracy of the genetic code in two manners: having more than one tRNA (with a specific anti-codon) for a particular amino acid; and 'wobble' base-pairing, i.e. permitting non-standard base-pairing at the 3rd anti-codon position.
Source: RNAcentral
AUUUAUUUAGUAUAUUAGUACAUUUGACUUCCAAUCAAAAAGAUUGACCAAUCAAAAUAAAUA